AGAGAGAGGCUGGAGCUCCUUUUCGAGUCCAAUAUGGAGGGCUGAUCGCGGCAAGAGCUGCCAUCUCAUGCACUAAGGCAAGACUUCACAUAUGAGAAAGGAAAAUGUGAAGUUUGGCCAAGUGCAUGGUGUGGGAGCAACUCCUUCCGGGCUCUCGCCCACCUAUUGGACUGAAGGGAGCUCCCUUCGACUCUACU
RNAcentral lists this microRNA precursor (197 nucleotides) under Manihot esculenta (cassava). RNAcentral's name for it is "MIR159 microRNA precursor family". It matches the Rfam family "MIR159 microRNA precursor family". Lineage: Eukaryota; Viridiplantae; Streptophyta; Magnoliopsida; Malpighiales; Euphorbiaceae. The record is from Rfam by way of RNAcentral.